UACAGAGGGUGCAAGCGUUAUUCGGAAUCACUGGGCGUAAAGGGCGCGUAGGCGGUCCCUUAAGUCAGGCGUGAAAGCCCGGGGCUAAACUCCGGAAGUGCGUCUGAAACUAGGGGGCUUGAGUACGGGAGAGGGAAGUGGAAUUCCUGGUGUAGAGGUGAAAUUCGUAGAUAUCAGGAGGAACAUCGGUGGCGAAGGCGACUUCCUGGACCGAUACUGACGCUGAGGCGCGAAAGCGUGGGGAGCAAACAGG
This 253-nucleotide ribosomal RNA is filed under the name uncultured bacterium. Its description in RNAcentral is "partial 16S ribosomal RNA". It matches the Rfam family "Bacterial small subunit ribosomal RNA", at positions 524 to 776 of the family's 1533-position model. The record is from RNAcentral.